Non-coding RNA from Salmo salar (Atlantic salmon), 70 nucleotides. The record is from Rfam. NCBI's taxonomy places the organism in Eukaryota, Metazoa, Chordata, Actinopteri, Salmoniformes, Salmonidae.
GCAUUGUGGUUCAGUGGUAGAAUUCUUGCCUGCCAUGCGGGGGACCUGGGUUCGGAUCCCAGCCUGUGCA